RNAcentral lists this ribosomal RNA (253 nucleotides) under uncultured bacterium. RNAcentral's name for it is "partial 16S ribosomal RNA". It matches the Rfam family "Bacterial small subunit ribosomal RNA", at positions 524 to 776 of the family's 1533-position model. The record is from RNAcentral.
UACAUGGGGUGCAAACGUUGCUCGGAAUCAUUGGGCGUAAAGCGCACGUAGGCGGUUCGUUAUGUCGGAUGUGAAAGCCCUCGGCUUAACCGGGGAAGUGCAUCCGAAACUGGCGAGCUUGAGUACUAAAGAGGGUCGCGGAAUUCCCGGUGUAGAGGUGAAAUUCGUAGAUAUCAGGAGGAACACCAAUGGCGAAGGCAGCUCGCUGGGGCGUGACUGACGCUGAGACGCGAAAGCGUGGGGAGCAAACAGG